AUGGCUCCCUACAAACUCACUCGUCUGGGAAAAUGUAACACGAGUCAAAAAGUUCUGAAAUGUUUGAUAACAAGAGGAAGAGAAAGAUCUUAUCAACAGUUUGGGGUCUAUUUCCUUGUGGAAUUGGGGGAUUUAGCAGUCGGUUUCAAGAAGAAGAUCUACAGUGUCAUAUAUCCAAGGUAUGCUUUUUGUGUAAGAAAAUCAGGUCCUAGAAUCCCUACUAUGGAAUUUUGGGGGUAUUUUACCAUGCAACACAGAUACGUUUAUAACACUAGAUAUUUUGAGAUGCCAUUAUCCUUACAAUCAAGCAGUGAUGGGGGAUUAAGACAGAGGAAGUGUGUAUGUUUGUGUGUGUGUGUGUUGUGCACGUGUGUGGGUUCUGGGUGCAUGUGAGUCCUUGCUUGGAGAUGGUAUAGUAGCAUCAUUCAAGUGGGUUGAAGUUCACUUCACCAGUAAUAUGUAAAAACUAGAGGAAGGACAGAAAAUUAAUUUUUUAAAAAUAUGGUCCAUAACAAGGAAAAGUAGAAAGGCCGCCUGUAAGCACAGAUCGAUUUACCUGUAAUACAGUGGCAGUGAUGCUGCGAGAUGGAAUAUUGGUUUCUUCUUAGAGUUUUGAACUUCACAAAGAGUUUGAAAGACAUGAAAGUAAGAAUCAAGGUGAAAGAAGAAAGAAUGCCUUUUUAAAAAGGAAAGCAUUACUGACGAGAAAAUGUUUCUUUUGAAAAUUGAUAGGUACAUAGAGAAGCCCUAAGGUACUGAUAGAUGAAAUGAAAAAGACAUGUAUGUGUUUGAAGGAGAAUGAGAAGGUAGGAGGAUUCAGCAGUCCUUCCUUGCUCCUGAUUAUAUGAAGGCAGAUCGAAAGGCAGCUGGGAGUUCGUACCCUGGUGCAGUGGGUGAAGAAUUCAACUGCAGUGCCUUGGGUCACUGUGGAGGCAUGAGUUUGAUCUCUGCCCAGCACAGUGGGUUAAAGAAUCUGGUUACCUCAGCUUCAGCUGGGAUUCAAUCCCAGGUCGGGGAAAUUCCAUAUGCUGAAGGUGUGGCCAUUAAAAAAAAGAAGAAAGAUAGGCAAUCAGUUACCGUUCCCCAUACCUGGAGUCCAGGCAGCUUCAGUAAAGGCAUCGGUGGCAUUCUCCACUUCUAGCAAGGGAGACUCGUUCUGUUUGUUUUGGAUUCCAGCGCCUUUUUCAACCAGGUUUCCUUUUGAUCUUCCCAUUACUUGUUAGAGGUGAAAUUACAAUAAAUGGAAAUUGGUUCUCUUGAGGCCCA
This 1266-nucleotide long non-coding RNA is filed under the name Sus scrofa (pig). RNAcentral describes it as "lncRNA (ENSSSCG00050064889.1)". The record is from RNAcentral. Lineage: Eukaryota; Metazoa; Chordata; Mammalia; Artiodactyla; Suidae.